Molecule: ribosomal RNA, 468 nt
Filed under: uncultured bacterium
Lineage: Bacteria
Description: partial 16S ribosomal RNA
Rfam family: Bacterial small subunit ribosomal RNA
Source: RNAcentral
GACGAACGCUGGCGGCGUGCUUAACACAUGCAAGUCGAACGGACAGGCCCUGCUUUUGUGGGGUGCUCGAGUGGCGAACGGGUGAGUAACACGUGUGUAACCUGCACUUGACUUUGGGAUAACUUCAGGAAAAUGGGGCUAAUACCGGAUAGGAGCUCCUGAUGCAUGGUGGGGGUUGGAAAGUUUCGGCGGUUGGGGCUGGACUCGCGGCUUAUCAGCUUGAUGGUGGGGUAGUGGCUUACCAAGGUUGUGACGGGUAGGCGGCAUGAGAGGGUGGCCGGCCACAUGGGUACUGAGGUACGGCCCAGACUCCUACGUUACGCAGCAGUGGGGAAUAUUGCACAAUGGGCCGAAGCCUGAUGCAGCAGCCCCGCGUUCGGAAUGCCGUCCUUCGGGUUGUAAACCGCUUUCGCCUGUGACGAAGCGUUAUUGACGGUAAUGGGUAAAGAAGCACCGGCUAACUACGUG